AGGACGACGCUGGCGGCGUGCUUAACACAUGCAAGUCGAAACGAGAAUCUACUGAAGGAGGAUUCGUCCAACGGAAGUAGAGGAAAGUGGCGGACGGGUGAGUAACGCGUGAGGAACCUGCCUUGAAGAGGGGGACAACAGUUGGAAACGACUGCUAAUACCGCAUGAAGCAUAGGGGUCGCAUGAUCUUUAUGCCAAAGAUUUAUCGCUUCAAGAUGGCCUCGCGUCUGAUUAGCUGGUUGGCGGGGUAACGGCCCACCAAGGCGACGAUCAGUAGCCGGACUGAGAGGUUGAACGGCCACAUUGGGACUGAGAUACGGCCCAGACUCCUACGGGAGGCAGCAGUGGGGAAUAUUGGGCAAUGGGCGCAAGCCUGACCCAGCAACGCCGCGUGAAGGAAGAAGGCUUUCGGGUUGUAAACUUCUUUUAAGAGGGAAGAGCAGAAGACGGUACCUCUAGAAUAAGCCACGGCUAACUACGUG
This 482-nucleotide ribosomal RNA is filed under the name uncultured bacterium. RNAcentral describes it as "bacterial SSU rRNA". It matches the Rfam family "Bacterial small subunit ribosomal RNA", at positions 33 to 507 of the family's 1533-position model. The record is from RNAcentral.